CGAUCACCCCGGCCCUGCCCACCGAGCGAGCCCGGGCGGGAGCUGCUGCUGUGGGGUCCCGCUGGCAAAGCCUGGCCUGUCGGUCUUGGGCGGUCGGUCGUCAUCUUCCCCAGUCCCUGCGGGGGUUUAGGGGAACCACCCCUCUCCCCGAACUGGAGGGUCCCCAGAAAGAUUAAGCCUGGGCAGAUAACGAGAUCAAAACCGGUAUGUGGUUUCUUGGGGUGCAGGCUCUUGCUGCACGACCCCCCGCCCCCGAAAGUCGCCCUCACCCCUGGAUCCCGAGGACAAAGGUCUGGAGAGGUCCGUCCCCUCCCCCAGCGAGGAGACCGGGAAAGACCCGCGGGUGUCGUACCCAGGUGAGCGUCCAGCUCCUUUCUGCCAGACAGACCUGACUCCGCGCUAGGCAACCUUUCCCUUCUGUAUUUAAGACGAGUAAACAUAAAAGUUUGACAGUCUGCUUAAGGACGUCUGGUAACUCGUUUGUCACUGUAGGCACGGGAAACGCUUCUUAAACCUGAUUUGGCUAGAGUCGGUUAAUUUAAUGCGCUAGGCGGCUUGCUAAAAGAUGCGUGACAAAUGGCAACUUCACACUCAGAUGUAAUCAAACUGGCUGUUUUGAUUUUGAAAAAUAAAUUUAAGAAAAACAGGUUCCUUUGCCCACCCCUUUUUGCCUAUAAAUUGGAAAGCUUACCUCACAUGACUGAAAUCCCAAGCGCCAAUAUUUAAUGAUGUUUAUAGAGGAUGUAUGGAUAGACUGCUUUCAAAUGUAAAGAUGAAUGACAUAUUUUGAAAGCGUUUCCUCUGCCGGCGCUGGCGAUGUAGUUAGGCUUUCUCAAUUUCGGGCUUGGUUCUGAUGAUCCAGGUUACAGGUUCUAGGGUCAAAAGAAUGAACAAUGAAAUCUUAGGAUCCAAACCUCCUAAAUGUUAGAUAUGACCAUAUUGCUAGUUUUGACAGGUAUUCGUUACCCUAAGAACUUAAAUAUCUAGCUUUACAUUUAAAAGUUUGAUUAAAGCAAAGAAACUAAAUUGCACUACAGAAGUCUUUCUGUCUAGAUAGCAUCUUCUGGCAAAGAGAAGGGCAAAAAUACUGUUAACCAAUUUUGAAGAAGAAAGAACAGUGGUUUAAAGAGCUAAGCAAGGGCAGGAUAAUGUUUUGAAAGCUAGGAAGAUGAAAUUGUAUGAAUUACUGUCAAAUGUUCUAAAGCUAGGGGGAAUAAUCCUUUAGAGGGAAGGUGUGGAAGAAAAGAUGAUUAAUUGUGAAAGGGAAAGCCCCAGAGGCAAGAGAAAUUGCAAUUACUUUAGGUUAAGGGGGGAAAAGUGUGUAUCUAAAGACUUAACAAAAACAAGAAUACUGAAUUUCAUUUCUUGUUCUUUUACAAUGUGAAAUAAGCAUUUAUACAUGAUUAAUAUAUUUCUUGAAGAAUGUUCUCUAUUUAGCACAAUCCCCAUUUAUGUGAUUGGGAGAUGCCUUUUUUCUACUGAAGUGAAUGAAUAAAUACCUUGAGAAAAUGCCACGGUUUCUACUUGGUAGUAAAAUAAUGAUUUAAAUGCUGUUGAAAAUGCAUUGUCAACCUAAAGCUUGUGAUUUCUAGGUUUUUCUAUCCAGUGCCUUCAUAUUAAGACCUUAUUCAACCAAAGCGAUUAUCUUCCAUUUUCAACUAACACUUUUUCUAAUGGUAACAUUAUAGUUGUAUUCAUUUUUGUUUUUGACACUUGGAAUUGGCUUCUAUUAGUGUAACUGCAUAUGUAAGCAGUUCACUGUGAUGUAAUCUUGAAUGUAACAUGGAACAAUUAUGUCAUUAAAAACAAAUUUGGAACAUGUAUCAACAAUCCCAGAGGCACUAAAUUUAAUUCCCUUUUAUCUUUAGCUAUUUUAAAGGGUUUAAAUUCUCCUGCUUCUGGUAUUUCCAUUAAAUCUUACAGCAAUUAGUUUCAACAGAUGGGACCUGGGGCUUUGAUUCCAAAUAGUUUUUUUGUUUGUUUUUUUAAUCCUCCAUUUCUAAGUAGAAGCUACUUAUUUGGAAUAGGAGACUUUUACCAUUUUGAACUAAAAGAGGAAACAAAUAUAAAAAGUCUGCGUUUCCAACAUAUACCCUUCUUCCCUUGUGUCUCAGGAUAUCUUUGUUCAUGCUUCACUAUUAUCGUUAGUUUACCAGGGCAGGAAACCUCUGAAGUGGUCAAGAUACUACACCCAGUGGAUUAAUAAAAUAUGUAUGAUAAGAAAAAAUAGGCCCUUUACUAGUUGCUAAAUCAUUUUAAAUAGAAUAUCCUUUCCUUAAACACUUGGCCAGAAGAAUCUUGAAAAACCAUAGUUGGGAGGAAUGUUGGUGGUUUGGAAUCAUAUUUUUGUGCUGUAAUGUAAAUGUUUUAAGAAAAAGAAAAAAAUUGAGCUUGAUUAACAGUGGGUCUUAGAUUACCACACCCUCUAAAUUGAAGUCCAUUCAUUCUUAAAACAUAUUUGUUGACCAAUACUGUACAAGUUUCUUUGGAAAACAGUGACAAAAUUCCAACCUAGGAAGGGAUGAGUGAUCAUAUGUAGAGAAUUUUUUUCUCCUUUCCUCAAGUAGCAUAAAAUCAAGAAGCAAGCUGGAAAAAACUAGAAAGCACAUCAGGAAAAAUUAGAUAUGGCCGCAAACAAUGUGGAGGCACCGUUAUUCAGAGGAUUCUUGGAGAAUGGAAGCUUCUUCAGCUAGGUUCUAAACAGUGAUAAAUGUGAGUCGGUGAACAGUGUGGAAUGUCAUUGUUAGGCUGGUGACAGGGUGGCCCAGGCAAAGGGACAACAUGCAGGGAAUAAUAAGGGAACAGCCACAAAUGGUCUGUAUGGGCGGAUGUUGGGCCUGUUGUCUCAGUUCCUUGGGAGACUGAAACAAGAGGCUCACUUGAGCCCAAGACUUCAAGACCAGCCCAGGCAACGUAAGGAGACCCCAUCUCACAAAGUGAAGGGAAUCACUGUGAAAAAGUUAGAGAACACAGCUGUGAAACCAGAGGCUCCAGAAAACUGAAAAAAGAACGAACCUUUUACUGACCGAAAGAAGCAAAUGCCCAAGAGAGAAGAAAGCGGAGAAGUAAGGGAUUCAGAAUGUGGCUGCUAAAAUGUGGAAAAUGAAAAUGAACGGCCCACAAAUUUCUGAAAUGAAGUUAAAGGAAGAUCAUGCUAUGAAAAAGCGUGGGAAAGGCACACAUUUCAAGUCAGGUACAAAGGAUCGAACUCAGGACCUCACACUUACCACUUAUGAGUCAGGGAUCGAACUCGGGACCUUGCCCUUGUGAGUGAACAUUGAUGGAAAGAUCCAAGGUGGAGUCAUGAUCCGGUUAUUCCUCAACCUGGAGAUGGUACUGAAAACCAUGGGGCAGAGACCACCAAGUGAAUGAAGAUCACCACGCUUCUUACCAGGGGUGGGGGAGAAUUGACUCGGAAGAGACAGGGAGAGCAAGAAGGACUUCAGGGUGCCCAGAUGCCUGGUAGGACUCUGAGGACAGAUCAGCAUCCAAAUGGAAGAAGGGACAGGCUGUGACGGAAGGGCACUUCACCCCGAGGCCUAACUCCCCAAGACCAAUCAUGAGAGAAGUGCCAGACACUCCUCAAUUGAAGGACUCUUUACAAAACCCACGAUCAGUACUCCUCAAGAUUGUCAAGGUCAUCAAAGAACGUCCAAGAAACUGUCCUGGUCAGGAGCAGCCUCAGGACAAUGUACACAUCCGACAGGGGGGCCCUGGGAGGGAAAGGGACAGGUGAAGACUCUGGAAGUGAGCCUGACCUUAGAACUUAGAAUUAAGGAGAUCUGAACAAAGUGUGCCCUUCAGUUAAUAAGGUGUUGAUACCAGUUUGUUAGUUAUGAAAAAUGUUCCACACUAAUGUUCCUCUUACUCGUGUAAGACUUCAACAAAAGGAAAGUAGGUUUGGGAUAUAUGGAAAUUCUCUACACUCUCUUUGCAGCUGUUCUUUAUAUCUGAAAUAAAUGUUACUAUAUAUUUUU
Heterocephalus glaber (naked mole-rat) is the source of this 3977-nucleotide non-coding RNA. Lineage: Eukaryota; Metazoa; Chordata; Mammalia; Rodentia; Bathyergidae. The record is from RefSeq and is a predicted model, not a curated record.